RNAcentral lists this long non-coding RNA (289 nucleotides) under Physcomitrium patens. Its description in RNAcentral is "long non-coding RNA (PPAT_LNC003648)". Lineage: Eukaryota; Viridiplantae; Streptophyta; Bryopsida; Funariales; Funariaceae. The record is from RNAcentral.
AAUAAGAUCAAUAAUUUAAUCAAAAAAUAUUGAGGUUCUAAAUUACUUUAGGAUUUGGUUAGGAUUUGGUUAAUAUUUGGUUUAAGAUUUUUUUAGGAUUUGGUUUAAGAUUUAGAAUUGACUUUAGGAUUUAGGAUUUAGGAUUUAUUUAGUGUUUGGUUUAGUAUUUAGGAUUUAUCUAGAAUUUAGUUAUAAAUUUAGGAUUUUUCUAGAAUUUAAUUAUAAAUUUAGGAUUUAUUUAGAAUUUGAUUUAGGAUCUAGCAUAUGUUUAGAAUUUCAUUAAAGUCCA